GACGAACGCUGGCGGCGUGCUUAACACAUGCAAGUCGAACGGAAAGGCCCUGCUUUUGUUGGGUGCUCGAGUGGCGAACGGGUGAGUAACACGUGAGUAACCUUCCCUUGACUUUGGGAUAACUUCAGGAAACUGGGGUUAAUACCGGAUAGGAUCUCCUGCUGCAUGGUGGGGGUUGGAAAGUUUCGGCGGUUGGGGAUGGACUCGCGGCUUAUCAGCUGGUUGGUGGGGUAGUGGCUUACCAAGGCUUUGACGGGUAGCCGGCCUGAGAGGGUGACCGGCCAAAUUGGGACUGAGAUACGGCCCAGACUCCUACGGGAGGCAGCGGGGGGGAAUAUUGCCCAAUGGGCGGAAGCCGGAUGAACCAACGCCGGGUGCGGGAUGACGGCUUUCGGGUUGUAAACCGCUUUAGCAUGUGACGAAGCGUGAGUGACGGUAAUGGGAGAAGAAGCACCGGCUAACUACGUG
This 468-nucleotide ribosomal RNA is filed under the name uncultured bacterium. Its description in RNAcentral is "partial 16S ribosomal RNA". It matches the Rfam family "Bacterial small subunit ribosomal RNA", at positions 28 to 507 of the family's 1533-position model. The record is from RNAcentral.